Molecule: long non-coding RNA, 550 nt
Organism: Mytilus californianus (California mussel)
Lineage: Eukaryota; Metazoa; Mollusca; Bivalvia; Mytilida; Mytilidae
Exons: 3
Source: RefSeq, a predicted model, not a curated record
AGCAUGUACGUUUAAAUGCCCAUUACGGUGAAGUUGGUUGCGAUAUAUUUAUAAACACAUAAGAAGGUUACACACAUAUGCAUUUAUAAAAUAUUACUAUUUAAAAAGUGAUAAAUAUGCUCCAACCUGAUUCAGCGCACCCACCACCUAAUACAUUUGAAGUUUCUGACGUUCAAACACACCAGCCACUCUCGACAGACCAUGGCAAGCGGAAACAUUCAACAGAGGUGUCAGCCGGUGACAGAAAAAUAGAUGAAAAAACAAAAUCGGUGCCUUUAAGAAUAAGAUUUGUAAAUUUCGACCCAAAACAAAUGACUUGCCCACAUUGCCAUAGACAUAUAACGACAGAGUUAAAAUUUCAUCCAGGGGAGACAACCUGGUCAUGGUGCAUUUGUUGCUUUUUAAUGGGAUGCGUCCUGGGAUGCUGUUUUCUCCCUUUUUGCAUGCAGAGGUGUAGAGAUGUGACGCAUUAUUGUCCACAUUGCCAUCAUAAAAUAGCUAAAUACCAUCGUAGUGAUCCAACAAAUCAUAGAAGAUUAUAAUGUUUAGU